UGCAAACUGGCAAGUUCGACCUUAACUAUUUGCAAUAAAACAUCACACCUAUGAGAGAGAGAGAAAACAGUCAUUUUAACCAAUAACUAUACACAUCUUUGGGGGAAAAGUUCUUGGACAGACACAAGUCAAACACAAUCCCGAGACGCUUGUGGCAAAAUAGAGGGAAAAAAAAUACAUCUGAAUGAAUGUUCCUCAUGCCUCAAUAGGACUGGCUACCAUGCUGUUAGGUGUAUCUGGGAGCUGGGAGGACAUCGACGCCACUUCACUGCCAGUGGAAUUAGAGCCCGGUCCUCCUUCUGAAAAAUUCACCUGCACAGAAGGUUGAGAAAUAAAUAAAGGAGGCUGCGAUUGUAUUCCUAAAAGGAUAUAAGCUUGUCCUAUAUGUCUAUGCAUGAAAACGUGGUUGUGUGUAUAGAGACGUAGAUAAAGAUAUCCACACAGAUAACUGAAUUUCAACAGUCAUAAAGAAAGCCCUCAAAGAAAAGAACUUGAGGAGAAAUCCUCUGGCUUUCCCAUCUUUCAAGAGAUCUCUGUUUUAACUGAAACUGAAUUCCCAACAUUAUGUUGCAUUAAAUUAUUUAAGAACAAAUGUGUUUCCCACUGUAAAAUGGCAUCGCAACUCUACCAUGCAUGCUCGAAAUAAAAUUAUCCUGCUGGCUA
This is a long non-coding RNA of Suricata suricatta (meerkat), 663 nucleotides long. RefSeq lists it as uncharacterized. NCBI's taxonomy places the organism in Eukaryota, Metazoa, Chordata, Mammalia, Carnivora, Herpestidae. The transcript has 3 exons. The record is from RefSeq and is a predicted model, not a curated record.